UUCUUUUCCGGAAGCUCAUCCUCAAAGAACUCCGGGGUUAAGCGUGCUUGGCUCGGAGCAAUUUCGGGAUGGGUGACCGACCGGGAAGUUCUUCCCGGGUGCGCACGAGUGAGGACAAAGUGCGUAGAAAAGACUUGUGUUGGUCUGUGAGGGAAUUCUUGAUAUCCUAGAGAGCUGCCAGGUGUAUGCGGGCCCGGCCCCGGGGGGGCGGGACGCCACAGUUGGUAUCAGAGCCGACUCUCGCGGUUUCACGGGCGCGUGCGGUCGCAGUUGCGCAGGCAUGGUGUGCAUGGCUGGUGUGGACCCAGAGUGGUCACACAGCAUGGCACAUGCGCUGGCACUAGACACACGGACGUGGCCAAGAGGGGACGUUCUUGGCUUGGGGUUGACCGACGAGGGCGUCGGUCUUCUAAGGGGGUGACUAUGUGAAAUCCUAGCCCAAGGUUUAAUAGGAUUGAUAGAAUACUCAUACCAAUAAGUUGCAACUUCUUUUCCGGAAGCUCAUCCUCAAAGAACUCCGGGGUUAAGCGUGCUUGGCUCGGAGCAAUUUCGGGAUGGGUGACCGACCGGGAAGUUCUUCCCGGGUGCGCACGAGUGAGG
Molecule: long non-coding RNA, 600 nt
Filed under: Setaria italica (foxtail millet)
Lineage: Eukaryota; Viridiplantae; Streptophyta; Magnoliopsida; Poales; Poaceae
Description: long non-coding RNA (SITA_LNC004656)
Source: RNAcentral